GGGGUGGCCCAUAUACUAAUACUGGAAAGAAAAAGAGAGGAUCAUUAUGCCUUUGGGCAUGUAUGACCUGCACGUGAGUGAAGUGUUCCAAAUUUUA
Molecule: small nuclear RNA, 97 nt
Filed under: Capra hircus (goat)
Lineage: Eukaryota; Metazoa; Chordata; Mammalia; Artiodactyla; Bovidae
Source: RNAcentral